This 253-nucleotide ribosomal RNA is filed under the name uncultured bacterium. Its description in RNAcentral is "partial 16S ribosomal RNA". It matches the Rfam family "Bacterial small subunit ribosomal RNA", at positions 524 to 776 of the family's 1533-position model. The record is from RNAcentral.
UACGGAGGGUGCGAGCGUUGUCCGGAAUCAUUGGGCGUAAAGGGCGCGUAGGUGGCUUCUUAAGCGUGCGGUGAAAGCCUGGGGCUCAACCCCGGGUCGGCCGUGCGAACUGGGGGGCUGGAGCACUGUAGAGGCAGGCGGAAUUUCCGGUGUAGCGGUGAAAUGCGUAGAUAUCGGAAGGAACACCAAUAGCGAAGGCAGCUCGCUGGGACGGUACUGACGCUAAGGCGCGAAAGCGUGGGGAGCGAACAGG